This 708-nucleotide ribosomal RNA is filed under the name Bdellovibrio sp. SD2GS. RNAcentral's name for it is "bacterial SSU rRNA". It matches the Rfam family "Bacterial small subunit ribosomal RNA", at positions 831 to 1533 of the family's 1533-position model. Lineage: Bacteria; Pseudomonadati; Bdellovibrionota; Bdellovibrionia; Bdellovibrionales; Pseudobdellovibrionaceae. The record is from RNAcentral. RNAcentral also lists the same sequence under 1 other name.
UUGACCCCUUCAGUGUCGAAGCUAACGCGUUAAGUAUCCCGCCUGGGGAGUACGGUCGCAAGAUUAAAACUCAAAGAAAUUGACGGGGGCCCGCACAAGCGGUGGAGCAUGUGGUUUAAUUCGAUGCAACGCGAAGAACCUUACCUAGGCUUGACAUGUACUGGAAGAUUGGCAGAAAUGUCGUCGCCCGCAAGGGUCGGUACACAGGUGCUGCACGGCUGUCGUCAGCUCGUGUCGUAAGAUGUUGGGUUAAGUCCCGCAACGAGCGCAACCCCUGCAUUUAGUUGCCAGCAUUCAGUUGGGCACUCUAGAUGGACUGCCGGUGUUAAACCGGAGGAAGGUGGGGAUGACGUCAAGUCCUCAUGGCCCUUAUGCCUAGGGCUACACACGUGCUACAAUGGUAGUCACAGAGCGAAGCUAAGCCGCGAGGUAGAGCAAAUCGCUUAAAAGCUAUCUAAGUUCAGAUUGAUCUCUGCAACUCGAGAUCAUGAAGUUGGAAUCGCUAGUGAUCGCGGAUCAGAAUGCCGCGGUGAAUACGUUCCCGGGCCUUGUACACACCGCCCGUCACACCAUGAAAGUCGGCUGUACCAGAAGUCGCUGCGCUAACCGUAAGGAGGCAGGCGCCCAAGGUAUGAUCGAUGAUUGGGGUGAAGUCGUAACAAGGUAGCCGUAGGGGAACCUGCGGCUGGAUCACCUCCUUUCUAAGGA